GGUGGGGUGAUGGCCUACCAAGGCGACGACGGGUAGCCGGCCUGAGAGGGUGUCCGGCCACACUGGGACUGAGAUACGGCCCAGACUCCUACGGGAGGCAGCAGUGGGGAAUAUUGCACAAUGGGCGCAAGCCUGAUGCAGCGACGCCGCGUGGGGGAUGACGGCCUUCGGGUUGUAAACCUCUUUCAGUAGGGACGAAGCGCAAGUGACGGUACCUACAGAAGAAGCACCGGCCAACUACGUGCCAGCAGCCGCGGUAAUACGUAGGGUGCGAGCGUUGUCCGGAAUUACUGGGCGUAAAGGGCUCGUAGGUGGUUGCGUAAGUCGGAUGUGAAAACUCAGGGCUUAACUCUGAGACGCCAUCCGAUACUGCGCUGACUUGAGUCCGGUAGGGGAGCAUGGAAUUCCUGGUGUAGCGGUGGAAUGCGCAGAUAUCAGGAGGAACACCAAUGGCGAAGGCAGUGCUCUGGGCCGGAACUGACGCCGAGGAGCGAAAGCAUGGGGAGCAAACAGGAUUAGAUACCCUGGUAGUCCAUGCCGUAAACGUUGGGCACUAGGUGUGGGGUCUUCUAACGAAUUCCGUGCCGUAGCUAACGCAUUAAGUGCCCCGCCUG
This 614-nucleotide ribosomal RNA is filed under the name actinobacterium X19(2008). RNAcentral describes it as "bacterial SSU rRNA". It matches the Rfam family "Bacterial small subunit ribosomal RNA", at positions 251 to 875 of the family's 1533-position model. Lineage: Bacteria; Bacillati; Actinomycetota; Actinomycetes. The record is from RNAcentral.